ACGGGUGCGUAACGCGUAUGCAACCUACCUUUAUCUGGGGGAUAGCCCGGAGAAAUCCGGAUUAAUACCGCAUAAAAUCACAGGAUGGCAUUAUCCAAUGAUCAAACAUUUAUGGGAUGAAGAUGGGCAUGCGUGUCAUUAGCUAGUUGGCGGGGUAACGGCCCACCAAGGCGACCAUUACUAGGGGAUCUGAGAGGAUGGCCCCCCACACUGGUCCUGAGACAAGUCCACACCUCUACGGGAGGCAGCAGUAAGGAAUAUUGGUCAAUGGAGGCAACUCUGAACCAGCCAUGCCGCGUGCAGGAAGACUGCCCUAUGGGUUGUAAACUGCUUUUAUCCGGGAAUAAACCACAUUACGUGUAAUGUGCUGAAUGUACCGGAAGAAUAAAGAUCGGCUAACUCCAUGCCAGCAGCCGCGGUAAUACGGAGGAUCCAAGCGUUAUCCGGAUUUAUUGGGUUAAAACGGGUGUAUAGGCGGCCUGUUAAGUCAGGGGUGAAAGACGGUAGCUCAACUAUCGCAGUGCCCUUGAUACUGAUGGGCUUGAAUGGACUAGAGGUAGGCGGAAUGAGACAAGUAGCGGUGA
This 584-nucleotide ribosomal RNA is filed under the name Pedobacter sp. StRD751. RNAcentral describes it as "bacterial SSU rRNA". It matches the Rfam family "Bacterial small subunit ribosomal RNA", at positions 102 to 684 of the family's 1533-position model. The record is from RNAcentral. Lineage: Bacteria; Pseudomonadati; Bacteroidota; Sphingobacteriia; Sphingobacteriales; Sphingobacteriaceae.